AAAACUCUCCCACACACAAGAAAUUCAAACUGUGUGGUCAUAGCGAAAAACUGGUACAGGUCCAGCUCUUCUCAGAUCAUCCCCUGCCCUAUUGUCAGCUUUGCCUCUGUUCUUUUCUCCAUCUGAGAAGUACUGGGAUUUAUCUCUCUUCUAAAAGGAGAAGAGAGACAAUGGAUAAAAGGGGUAUAAAACUUGCAUUACUUAUGCACAGUCCUCCAGGGGAGCUCGAAGCCCAGGUGCACAUUCAGGAAUUAAGAGGAGACCCAACAAAAAGUCAGGUUAUCCUCGGCUUAACUUUAAGCCCAUAAAACGUAAUGCUAUAUAGUCUGAGGUGCAUAUUAUGAAACACUCAGGCUAUAAAGUAUCUUUCUAAGGUCCUAGUUGAAACAUGACUUAUUUAGAGAUACUCUUCUCUCUCUUACGAUGCAUGCCAAUAAUUCUAAGAACUUUAGAAACAUCUUUUAUAAGACACCAUCAUAUCCAAUGGUUCUGUCUUGAGGGGUGCUUUGAAAUUUCCAGGACCACACUGAAAGAGGUCAUACACUGAUAUCAGGCAUCUUCACUGAGAGUCAAAGUGAUUUGGAAACUGGAUAUUGUGUAGUAUUACUCAUUGUAAGGGACUUGUGUCUGAGAGAGGGCCACUGUGCCCGAGAAUAUCUAAGCUCAUGCUUUUCUAUGUACACAGAUGCCUAUUUGGUUGUGCCAGUCUUCUGAAUGCCUUGAGCUCCCCGUUUACCGCUCAGGCGCUGCCAUCUUUUCAGGGUGCAGGGAAACCCUGAGCUCUGUCCAGUCUCCAGUGGUGCUGAUUAUGAACCUGAUGGCCAACCUUUCUCACACCUCUUUGGUUUGCCAAUGCUGCUUAUCUCCUGGGCUAUGAGGUCACAUGUGGGCUUCUCCCAGACACAGCAAAAACAUGGUGGGGACUUCAUCUCUACCACAAUACACUUCAUAUCACUUUAAGAAAAACAGUAACUGUCUCUGGAGUUACCGAAUUGGGCAUGGGGAUUUUGCGGUUCUACAGAGUGUGAAAAAGAGGGAGAUUUAACUACGUGCUGGAGUAAAACCCUUUCUCAGACAAUACUUGACUGCAAUCUUGUCAUCUGACGUUGGUUAUUCCAUAGGAUGGAAAUUCCCGUCUCCGGUCUCACUUCCCGUUCUUUCUACAAACCACAGGCAUCUAAGCAUGGAUCCAGGUCAUUCCCAAACUUUUGAGCCAGUUCUUCUGUGGGCAUGAAAAUAGACGUCUCGGGUUCACAAUUUAUCUGUGCUUUGGUUCUGGAAAAUGAGGACAGCUACGAGCUGGUGGCUACAUUUGAGGUUUCAGAGUUUACUUGGAGAAAAUAUAGGCAAAUAACCCUGCAACACAUCUUUCCCACUCCCACAAGGAGAAAACUGACUGCAUUCCAGAGUGAUUUUCCCUAGGGCCAAGCACAAAAUGUGGAACACAGCAUGGGGAUUAAUUACUUCAACUUGAAUGUUGGAAUUUUAUUCCAAAUCCAAACUCAUGACAACUAAGAAAGACCAAAGAGGAGUAUGUUUACAAUAUUUAGCAAAUGUCACCUUGAUGCUAUCAUCUACGAAGGACUCAGAGAUGAUAGAGAAAGUAUACUUAAAUAAUUUGCUUCUUUACACGUUGAAUUAAAAAUCUAAUGUCUAAAACAAGACUUGAUGGGAGUAGAAGCAAUGUGAUUUAAAUUUAAAAGGUGAUCUAAUUCUGUUAAUUGCACCACACUCUCAAAUGAAAGAAGGCAGACCACAAAGCUACACUGCAUUUUAAAAAUACUGAACUCGAUCAGAUAUGUAUCUGUGAAACUGGUUUUCUCGUGAAGAAAAAUUCACACUUCCCAAAAAUGUCUAUUAUGUUAACAUGACUUAUUUAGUCUACCAUACACAAAUCAAGUUACCAGUAAACUAAGUUUAUUUAUUUAUUUAUUUAUUAUUUUAGGGCUUCGUGUGCAGCAUAGGGAAGUUCCCAGGUUAGGGGUCAAGUCGGAGCUGCAGCCAGUAGCCUAUGCCACAGACAUGGCAAUGCAGAAUCUGAGGAGCAGGUGUAGUGAUCUACACCACAGCUUACAGCAACACUGGAUCCUUAACCCGAUGAGCAAGGCCAGGGAUCGAACCUGUGUCCUCAUGGUUCAUCACCACCAAGGCACAACAGCAACGCCCAAGUUUCCAGUAAACUAAGUUUAAAAGCAGAAAAUUUUCUGUAAUUAUGCAUGGGUCUAUUAUUAAAAUCACAAUUGGAACUUUAUAGCACGUUGAACUGAUUUGAAACAAGCUAGUCGGACAGUUGCAACAUUGUUGAAGUUAUGAUAAGCAGUUGUCAUAAAAAGCUCUAUGAAAUAUCUGAGCUUCAGAAUGAACAUGUCAAGCCAUGCUGAUCAAAGGAAAAACAAAGAGAUCUGAUAUCAAUGUGUGACAAAGAAACCAAAGCUUCUAUGAGAAGUUUUAAGUGCCAAGAAAAUCUCAACGAGAAAUCUAAAUGAUAAAGAUCUUAAAAAUAUACAUGGCAUUUUAUGACAAAAUUUUAAUUCAUUAAAAACAACUGGGGAAUUCCCAUCACGCCUCAGCAGAAACCAAUCUGACUUAGUAUCCUUGAGGACACUGGUUUGAUCUCUGGCCUCAUUCAGUGGGUUAAGGAUCUGGCACUGCCAUGAGCUGUGGUAUAGGUCGUAGACAUGGCUCGGAUCCGGUGUUGUUGUGUCUGUGUGUAGGCUGGCAGCUCCAGCUCUGAUUCAACCCCUAGCCUGGGAACCUCCAUACACCAUGGGUGCCACCCUAAAAAGACCAAGAGGAAGAAAAAAUAGUAGAAGGACAUCUAUCAAAGAAAAAAUACAUAUACAUGGCGGAGCAUUAAGGAAAGAGAAAGAGAACAGAAGUAGAUUAUAAAGAAGGGACACAUGCCUUCUGAUUUGCCUUGACUGUGGAGUGUCUCUGGCUGUCCUAUCAGACAGCUGGCUUUACAGCCACUGGUUCCAAUAUCAUGUCAUGACCAGCCAUCCCAAUGCCGUGUUGUAUUUUUAAUGUAAAAACAAACCUCAAGGAAAGAACAAGUCCCGUCAGAAAUGCUCCUUCUCUUCAACCUCCCUUCCAUUUUCGACUCUUCAAUCCUUUUGCUUUUCCAAGUAUGGAGACACAUAGAUACCCUGUCCCAGAAUUUACUUUAGCCUUUUCUCCUAAUGUGAGCAGCAGGAUGAAAAGCCUCCAUGAAGAACAAAAGGAUUCCACAGCGCAGUCAACACAGACAGAGACCGAUGGAGGGAAACCAUUUAUGGAUUUUCAGCUCUCUCUAGGAGAUACAAGACUAUUACAUCCACACACACACACACACACAAGGUCAGAAUUUUACCCUUGCAACUGCUAUAAAUUUCAAAUGACCUUUUUAAAAAAUCUUGUAGCCAUAAAACAAGCACAAUCCUUCUCAGGUUGUAGACUUGGCCAGUUUUUAAAUCUACAUUUAUAAUUCUCUAUUUUUAUCACAUUACUGCAACCCAAUUCAUAUACUCGUUGCUGAUGUGGUCUGAAGUUUUUGUUGGCAUGAGCUGAGUGGUGACAGAUUUCUCCAUUUUUGAAUAACUUCCCAGCCCCUGACAAGCUCGAUUCUACACCAACUCACAGCAUAUGUGCUUACCCCACACUUUUCAGAGACAGUGCUAUUUUAAGGCACCAUUUUUGCCUUAUGGCAGCUCUUUCCUUUAUCGCCUCACCUGUGCAAUUGCUUUGCCUUUGUUCCCUGAAUUCGAAUGUAAAAGGCAAGCAACCACACAGAUGGUGUGCAGAAGAGAGUGGCAGAGAUGCUGUGUCUCUUCUGAACUACAGCAAUUUCCUAUGCGAUGCUAGGGCAGGCUGAGCUCAAGAUGUCUCCAGCCCAGGAUGCCCUGCCCUGGCCCCCAGAACUAUGGAUAUAAGAUUUCACUCCCUGUACAUGGCAAAGGAGGUUUUGGAAGAUGUAAAUAAGGGUACCAACCAUUUGACUGUGAGUCAAUUCAAGAGGAGAUUAUCUGGGUGGAUCUUAUCCGGUCACCCAAGUCCUUCACAAGAGCAUUUUCUCUGGGUUUUUAGCAGAAGGGGAAAUCAGAGAGGUUCUAAACAGGAGAGGGAGUCAAUGCAUCAUGCCUGGUUUGGAAGACAGAGGGACACCUGCAGGUGCGGGUGAGAGGUGUCUAGGGAUGGAGUACGGCCACUGCCCAACAUCUGGCCAUAAAACAAGGAUCUCCAUCCUACAACAGCAAGGAGCUGGCUUCUUCACUACGGGGAUGAGCUAGGACAUGGAGGCUUCUCCAGCGCCCACAGCUCAGAGGCUUCCCUGCAGGGCACCAUGUGACUGCGGCCUUGUGAAACUCUAGGCAGAGAACCCAGCAACAUCUUGCUGUAUUUCUACAGAAUCGUAAGCUAAGAAACAGAUACUGUGUCAAUUCCCCACAUCUGUGGUCAUUUGUUACAGAGGAGUCGUUACAGUGUCUUCCAUGACAACUUAGGAUCUGCUAGGUGUACAAUAAGUUAGAAGGAUGCUGUGCACAGCACAGAGAAUACGGUGCACAUUUAGUAACUUCCUAUGGAGCAUAAUCUACAAAAAUACUGAAUUCGUAUGUUGUACACGUGAAACUAACCCAAACUGUAAAAUCAACUACACAAAACCAAACCAAACCCCAAAACUUAGGAUCUGCUAUUCUGAGAUGAGCAUGAGCAAUGAAUGUCCACUGGGGGGUAGGGUUGAUCCGUUCUCCUACAGCGAACAAGUCACACCGCUUCUACCAUCCACACAUUUCUCUACCCAUCCCCUUCUGGACACUCAGCUGGGAAACUUUCAUCUAAACUGUGAUGAGCCUCCUCACUCUUUUCCUCACUUCCAUUCUCUGCUCUGAGCUCCUAAUAAUCUGUUAGACUCAUCGUCCCCAAACACAGCUGUGACCAGACUAUGCUAACUUUUUUAAAAAAGGAAUCAUCGUUGCCUCUUUGUAAAGUAUAAAUGCCUCCUGCUGGAACUCAAGUCCUCUAAGACCUGCCUCCAAGGCCUGAAAGACCACCUGGAGGAAAUGAAUCUCCACGGUGAUUUGUGAAAUCGCAGAGCAAAUAAUAGCCUGAGUUUAUCACACACGAGCUCUGUGACAUUAAAACCCACCCUCAGAAGCUCAACGGAACAAAACUUGAGCAGUCACAAACCCUGCUCAUCUGUACAGAACACGCGGAUAGCUUUCGCUUUCGGUGGAGAAACCAGAUGGAAAAAGAGCAUUACAAAACCACAAUGCAAAAAAAAAUCAAGCCCUCAUAUCAUCAGCUGCAUCUUCUGAAAACCUCAGGUCAUUAGUCAAAAAGAAAUGGGGCAGAAGGCAAGGUCCAAGACUGCACAUUAAAGAAAAACCCCAAUCUCAAAGGAAAUAGAAAUGAUUUAGGCAAGAGCAUGUAAACCACACACUGAAUGAACCCUCACCAAUAUCCAGUCACUGUGCGUCCACUAGCAAAGACUAGACUUAUAUGAAAAGGGAAUUAUGAAAAAGCCAGAAAGAAUAUUAGAAAAUGCAAACUAGAAGGAUCGAAAUAAUUCAUGGGAAUGAUGGAAGACAAAGUAAGGAAAUUCCCGGGACAUAAAACUAAAAGAUAAAUGUAUACAACUUAAGAUAGAUGUGAUUUCGUUACUCAAGCGAGACAUGGUAUCACAUGAGCAGGAUUUUUAGAAAGAGAAAGCAAAAGGAAUACAUUAUGUUUUAAAAUAUAAAAUCGGAAACACCCGUUUUAGGUCAAAGGUAAAAGGAAUGAACGAGAAGUCCCUAUGACAUUCCAGAACCCCAAGAAUGAACUCCACCCCAAACAGUGGGACGCAGAGUCAGUGUAGACUAUUUACCAAUGAGUGAGGUCAAGGUUUGUUGAGAGACUGCACCUGUGACUGUGGUUGACGACCACAAUGAGCAGCCUCUCAGGAACAAGGUGAUAGGAAGCUGGUCAAACUAUUAAUCCAGUUGGAGGCCGACGGUGGACAUAUUCAGCCUUCAUAAAAUUCAUGUUCCAGAGUUCCCAUCAUGGCUCAGCAGAAACAAAUUCAACUAGUACCCAGAAGGACACAGGUUUGAUCCCUGGCCUUGCUCAGUGGGUUUAGGAUCCGGUGCUGCCGUGAGCUGUGGUGUAGGUCGCCGACGUGGCUCAGACCCUGCAUUGCUGUGGAUGUGGCAAAAGCCAGCGGCUAUAGCUCCGAUUUCACCCCUGGCCUGGGAACUUCCAUAUGCCACAGGUGUGGCUCUAAAAAGACCAAAAAAAAAAAAAA
This 6259-nucleotide long non-coding RNA is filed under the name Sus scrofa (pig). RNAcentral's name for it is "lncRNA (ENSSSCG00060056917.1)". Lineage: Eukaryota; Metazoa; Chordata; Mammalia; Artiodactyla; Suidae. The record is from RNAcentral.